Molecule: small nucleolar RNA, 137 nt
Organism: Anguilla rostrata (American eel)
Lineage: Eukaryota; Metazoa; Chordata; Actinopteri; Anguilliformes; Anguillidae
Product: small nucleolar RNA SNORA5
Exons: 1
Source: RefSeq, a predicted model, not a curated record
CGCAGCCUCGUCAAAUUCAGUACGUCCUCCACCGUGGAUCAUACUGGCCAAAAUGGCUGCCACACUCAAACGGUCGCUCAUGGGCCCCGCGUCAGAUGCCUGUAGAUGCUGGGGAUAAAUUUGUGCUACCGACAACA